Molecule: long non-coding RNA, 665 nt
Filed under: Felis catus (domestic cat)
Lineage: Eukaryota; Metazoa; Chordata; Mammalia; Carnivora; Felidae
Description: lncRNA (ENSFCAG00000050263.1)
Source: RNAcentral
CUUUCCUGAUGCUGUAUCAUAAGCAUUCACAAGGAGCCAACUGCAGAGUGAUCAGAGAAGUGGAGUAUUAGAAUCUCUCCUCAGGAAGACUAGACUUCUACAAAACCUCUCUUGUGUCUCAGUGGCCAAAUCAUCACUUUCUGGGUAAUACCCUACCACGACCAAGAAGAAAUGGUGUUAGUAUGUGGCCUCUGCUGAUUCCACAGACAGAACUCAGGUCUGUCUGCAUAAAACCCAAAGUACAGAUGGGCAAGUCUUCUCGCAAGUCCUUUGGCAUAUGGUGCUGGAUCCCACAAUUCCUAGAGAAAUACCACAAUAAGCUGCUUGGAAAAAUACAAGAAAGAAACUGAUAAUUCUCGCACUCUACAUUCAGUGAUGAAUGAAUAUCUGACAUAUUCAAUCUCCAUUUUCAUUAAGAGAUGAUCCCACCCUUCCCUGGCUUUGGGGAUUUUGAGGUCUUCCUCUCCCCAUCCCUGAUUGGAGAAGAAUUCAGUAGUUCUGGUGAGUAAUGGCUUGUCUACUAUUUAAUUUGUCAUUUUUAACCACUUCCUUUAUUUCCAUUCAAAGAAAGUUUGCACUUAUAAUUUACUUCAUUUUCUUUUUUAAUUCACUUACAGUUCAGUUAAAUUCAUUCAGUUAAGACAAUUUUUCAUACUUAUGUACAC